Molecule: ribosomal RNA, 278 nt
Filed under: uncultured bacterium
Lineage: Bacteria
Description: partial 16S ribosomal RNA
Rfam family: Bacterial small subunit ribosomal RNA
Source: RNAcentral
CCUGCACCUGCCGGCGACCGGCGCACGGGUGAGUAACACGUAUGGAACCUGCCCGCCACAGGGGGAUAACCCGGGGAAACCCGGCCUAAUACCCCAUGCCGCCCGGACCGGGCAUCUGGUCCGGGCGAAAGGAGGAAUCCGGUGGCGGCUGGGCAUGCGGCGCAUUAGGCAGUAGGCGGGGUAACGGCCCACCUAACCGACGAUGCGUAGGGGUUCUGAGAGGAAGGUCCCCCACACUGGUACUGAGACACGGACCAGACUCCUACGGAAGGCAGCAG